RNAcentral lists this long non-coding RNA (1196 nucleotides) under Locusta migratoria (migratory locust). RNAcentral's name for it is "partial Lnc70610". Lineage: Eukaryota; Metazoa; Arthropoda; Insecta; Orthoptera; Acrididae. The record is from RNAcentral.
AAAUCAUCCAUCUAUGGAUGAAUUCAUCACUGUACCAUUUCGUUGCACACUGCAGCCAUGAUACGAGAACGUGCCUAAGUUCCUUCAAUCCAUCGUGCAAGAACACAGAGGACUUCCCACUAACGAAAAAAGAGUUGAAAUCAGCUGCAGGAAUAAACAUUAAAUAAAUUUAAAAUAUGUCAUUUACGAGAUUCAGCUUGCUGUAGAUAAGCAGGUAAUACAACAGAUAUGUGUGAUAAAAUCAUACAAGCGAAUAUGGACCAUCUCGGUGGAAUUAUAACUAAAACCUCUUCCUCCUUUGGAAGAAAUUGUUGCUCAAACCAGCGGCACAUGCUACGCACAUAUAUAAGAAAAUACGUGUGAACCGGCCAUAACUAAUGUAAGCAGUGAACUAUGGUUUAAUUUAAGAAUGUACAUAUAUGUAACUAAAUGAAUUUGUAAAUAAAGGAAAAAUGUAAGAUCCGUCUGUAUGAAUUAUUUUUCCUGUAUAAAAUCACCUGAAAACCAAUGUAAAUAUACAAUCUUUAUACAUUCAACUGAAGGGAACAUCAUUGUCACAAGGACUUUGUAGUAUCUCAUUAAUCCUGCAAUGAUACUGAAAUCGAGAAGUGAAUGUACAUAUAUGUAACUAAAUGAAUUUGUAAAUAAAGGAAAAAUGUAAGAUCCGUCUGUAUGAAUUAUUUUUCCUGUAUAAAAUCACCUGAAAACCAAUGUAAAUAUACAAUCUUUAUACAUUCAACUGAAGGGAACAUCAUUGUCACAAGGACUUUGUAGUAUCUCAUUAAUCCUGCAAUGAUACUGAAAUCGAGAAGUGAAUGUACAUAUAUGUAACUAAAUGAAUUUGUAAAUAAAGGAAAAAUGUAAGAUCCGUCUGUAUGAAUUAUUUUUCCUGUAUAAAAUCACCUGAAAACCAAUGUAAAUAUACAAUCUUUAUACAUUCAACUGAAGGGAACAUCAUUGUCACAAGGACUUUGUAGUAUCUCAUUAAUCCUGCAAUGAUACUGAAAUCGAGAAGUGAAUGUACAUAUAUGUAACUAAAUGAAUUUGUAAAUAAAGGAAAAAUGUAAGAUCCGUCUGUAUGAAUUAUUUUUCCUGUAUAAAAUCACCUGAAAACCAAUGUAAAUAUACAAUCUUUAUACAUUCAACUGAAGGGAACAUCAUUGUCACAAGGACUUUGUAGUAUCUCAUUAAUCCUG